This 766-nucleotide unclassified non-coding RNA is filed under the name Melitaea cinxia (Glanville fritillary). RNAcentral's name for it is "misc RNA ENSMCXG00005017620.1". The record is from RNAcentral. Lineage: Eukaryota; Metazoa; Arthropoda; Insecta; Lepidoptera; Nymphalidae.
GUUGUCUUAGCGAAAAAAAAAAAAAAAAAAAUAGAAGGGAUUGAGUAUCCCUUUUGAAAUUUUUAUCAUCGUUUCUAGACAGAAAUAGAAAGGUUUCUACGAAGUUACAACAAAAUGUAGUGUCCACGAGCAGAGAUAUAGACAUUUGAAGAAGUAGUAUAUAGGCAUUGUCUUAGAGAAAAAAAAAUAAAAAAAAAAUAGAAGGGAUUGAGUAUCCCUUUUGAAAUUUUUAUCAUCGUUUCUAGACAGGAAUAGAAAGGUUUCUACGAAGUUACAACAAAAUGUAGUGUCCACGAGCAGAGAUAUAGACAUUUAAAGAAGUAGUAUAUAGGCAUUGUCUUAGCGAAAAAAAAAAAAUAAAAAAAAAAUAGAAGGGAUUGAGUAUCCCUUUUGAAAUUUUUAUCAUCGUUUCUAGACAGUAAUAGAAAGGUUUCUACGAAGUUACAACAAAAUGUAGUGUCCACGAGCAGAGAUAUAGACAUUUGAAGAAAUGGUACAUAGGCGUUGUCUUAGCGAAAAAAAAAAAAAAAAAAUAGAAGGGAUUGAGUAUCCCUUUUGAAAUUUUUAUCAUCGUUUCUAGACAGAAAUAGAAAGGUUUCUACGAAGUUACAACAAAAUGUAGUGUCCACGAGCAGAGAUAUAGACAUUUGAAGAAGUAGUAUAUAGGCAUUGUCUUAGAGAAAAAAAAAUAAAUAAAAAAAAAAAUAGAAGGGAUUGAGUAUCUCUUUUGAAAUUUUUAUCAUCGUUUCUAGAUAGUAUUAUAAAG